UCAGCAGCCAUAGCACCUGCAGGUCAGCCUAUGUCAGCCAUCUGCAUCUGCUUAGCCUAUGUCAGCCAACUAAGCAGGUUUGGGCCUGGCCAGUUCUUGGAUGGAAGAUUAACUAGGAAAGCUGGGAUGCUGCUGAAA
This 138-nucleotide ribosomal RNA is filed under the name Paramormyrops kingsleyae. The record is from RNAcentral. Lineage: Eukaryota; Metazoa; Chordata; Actinopteri; Osteoglossiformes; Mormyridae.